GCGAGCGAAAGCGGAUCAGCCCAAACCAGAGUGAUUUAUCACGCUGGGGUUGUAGGACUAUAAUGUGAGAAGCAACGGAUAGACGAAUACCUUGGAAAGGGUAACCAUAGAGGGUGACAGUCCCGUAGUUGAAAUCCCGCGCCGAUCUAAUAGUAUCCUGAGUAGCACCGGACACGUGAAACCCGGUGUGAAUCUGCGCCGACCACGGCGUAAGGCUAAAUACAAGAUGACGACCGACAGUGAACUAGUACCGCGAGGGAAAGGUGAAAAGCACCCCUGUUAGGGGAGUGAAAUAGUAACUGAAACCGAUGGCUAACAAAUCAGUAGGAGCCGCCUUGUGCGGUGACUGCCUGCCUUUUGUAUAAUGAGUCUGCGAGUUUAUGUCCGUAGCAAGCCUAAGCUGCUAAGCAGUGGAGGCGUAGCGAAAGCGAGUCUGAAUAGGGCGAUUGAGUUGCUGGCAUAAGACCCGAAGGGGAGGUGAUCUUACCAUGACCAGGUUGAAGCGUUAGUAAAAUAACGUGGAGGACCGAACCGGUGUAGCUUGAGAACUGCUCGGAUGAGUUGUGGUAAGGAGUGAAAGGCUAAUCAAACCCCCUGAUAGCUGGUUCUUUCCGAAAUAUAUUGAGGUAUAGCGUCGAGCGCUGACCUGUGGAGGUAGAGCACUGAAUAAGCUAGGGCCCCUACCGGGGUACUGAACUUUAUCAAACUCCGAAUGCCACAGGGUGAAGCUCGGCAGUCAGACUUAGGGUGCUAACGUCCUAAGUCGAGAGGGCAACAACCCAGACCAUCAGUUAAGGUCCCUAAAUGUGGCUCAGUGGUAAAGGAUGUGAUUUUACUUAGACAAUGGGGAUGUUGGCUUAGAGGCAGCCAUCAUUUAAACAGUGCGUAACAGCUGACCCAUCGAGUGAAAUUGCGCCGAAAAUGAUCGGGACUUAAGCCACAUACCGAAGCUAUGGAUUUCAGUUCCUCGGAACUGGAGUAGUAGGAAAGCGUUCCAAGUGCAGUGAAGGAGAAGGGGCAACCGACUCUGGAGCGCUUGGAAGUGAGAAUGCAGACAUGAGUAACGAUAAAGAUGGUUAAAGUCCAUCUCGCCGUAAGGAUAAGGUUUCCUGGGGAAGGCUCGUCCUCCCAGGGUUAGUCGGGAGCUAAGAUGAGGCCGUAAGGAGUAAUCGAUGCACAGAAGGUUAAUAUUCCUUCACCGGCUUGCAACUAUUCCCAGAGUGCGGAUCGACGGACCCUACAGACCUGUUUUGACAAGGCACUGCAAAGCUACGGCUGCGUGGGUGUAGGGAAAGAAGGUUCCAAGAAAAGCUCUGGAAUUACUAUGCAGGUCGCUCGUACCGCAAACCGACACAGGUAUCCGGGAUGAGUAUUCUAAGGCGCGCGAGUUAAAUCUCUCUAAGGAACUCGGCAAAUUGGCCCCGUAUCUUCGGUAUAAGGGGUGCCCCUCUAGGGGGGUCGCAGUUAAUAGCGUCAACCGACUGUUUAGCAAAAACACAGCUCUCUGCAAAGUCGCAAGACGACGUAUAGGGAGUGACACGUGACCAAUGCGAAAAGGUGAACGCCUGGGGUGCAAGCUCCGGGUCUAAGCCCUCGUGAAUGUCGGCCGUAACUAUAACGGUCCUAAGGUAGCGAAAUUCCUUGUCGGGUAAGUUCCGACCCGCACGAAUCGUGUAACGAGUUGACGACUGUCUCGGAGAGACGCUCGGUGAAAUUGUAGUAGCGGUUAAGAUGCCGCUUACCCGCAGCAGGACGGAAAGACCCUAUGCACCUUUACUGUAAGCUGUUAUUGUCGCUUGAUCUUCAUUGCGUAGAAUAGGUGGGAGACGUUGAUCCUUCGUUCCAGGACGAAGGCUAGUCGUAAUGUGAAAUACCACUCUUUGUUGGUUAGGCGUCUAACCUCUUUCCAUUAUCUGGAGGAGGGACAGUGAUAGCAGGUCAGUUUUACUGGGGCGGUAUCCUCCUAAAAAGUAACGGAGGAUUUCGAAGGUUCCCUCAGCCCGGUCGGUAAUCGGGCUAUAGAGCGCAAGAGUAUAAGGGAGCUUUACUGUGAGACCUACAAGUCGAGCAGUUGCGAAAGCAGGAUCUAGUGAUCCGGUGGUUGAAAGUGGAAUCGCCAUCGCUCAUAGGACAAAAGGUACGCUAGGGAUAACAGGCUGAUCGCGCCCAAGCGUUCACAGCGACGGCGCGGUUUGGCACCUCGAUGUCGGAGAUCGGAAGAGCGUCGUGUAGGGAAAGAGUGU
This 2243-nucleotide ribosomal RNA is filed under the name seawater metagenome. RNAcentral describes it as "bacterial LSU rRNA". It matches the Rfam family "Bacterial large subunit ribosomal RNA", at positions 249 to 2619 of the family's 2925-position model. The record is from RNAcentral.